CCUACGGGUGGCUGCAGUGGGAAUAUUGCACAAUGGGCGCAAGCCUGAUGCAGCCAUGCCGCGUGUGAAGAAGGCCUUCGGGUUGUAAAGCACUUUCAGCGGGGAGGAAGGCGUUAAGGUUAAUAACCUUGUCGAUUGACGUUACCCGCAGAAGAAGCACCGGCUAACUCCGUGCCAGCAGCCGCGGUAAUACGGAGGGUGCAAGCGUUAAUCGGAAUUACUGGGCGUAAAGCGCACGCAGGCGGUCUGUCAAGUCGGAUGUGAAAUCCCCGGGCUCAACCUGGGAACUGCAUUCGAAACUGGCAGGCUAGAGUCCUGUAGAGGGGGGUAGAAUUCCAGGUGUAGAGGUGAAAUGCGUAGAGAUCUGGAGGAAUACCGGUGGCGAAGGCGGCCCCCUGGACAAAUACUGACGCUCAGGUGCGAAAGCGUGGGGAGCAAACAGGAUUAGAUACCCGUGUAGUC
This 462-nucleotide ribosomal RNA is filed under the name uncultured Klebsiella sp. Its description in RNAcentral is "bacterial SSU rRNA". It matches the Rfam family "Bacterial small subunit ribosomal RNA", at positions 338 to 795 of the family's 1533-position model. Lineage: Bacteria; Pseudomonadati; Pseudomonadota; Gammaproteobacteria; Enterobacterales; Enterobacteriaceae. The record is from RNAcentral.